UGGGGAAUAUCGGACAAUGGGCGAAAGCCUGAUCCAGCGACGCCGCGUGGGUGAAGAAGGCCUGCGGGUUGUAAAGCCCUUUCAGUGGGGAAGAAAGUGACGGUACCUGGGGAAUCAGCCCCGGCUAACUACGUGCCAGCAGCCGCGGUAAUACGUAGGGGGCAAGCGUUGUCCGGAUUUAUUGGGCGUAAAGCGCUCGCAGGCGGUCCGAUGCGUCGUGCGUGAAAGACCCCGGCUCAACUGGGGAGGGUCGUGCGAUACGGUCGGACUCGAGGCCAGUAGGGGGACGCGGAAUUCCGGGUGUAGUGGUGGAAUGCGUAGAGAUCCGGAGGAACACCAGCGGCGAAGGCGGCGUCCUGGACUGGUACUGACGCUCAGGAGCGAAAGCGUGGGGAGCGAUCCG
RNAcentral lists this ribosomal RNA (403 nucleotides) under uncultured bacterium. Its description in RNAcentral is "bacterial SSU rRNA". It matches the Rfam family "Bacterial small subunit ribosomal RNA", at positions 355 to 775 of the family's 1533-position model. The record is from RNAcentral.